Molecule: long non-coding RNA, 563 nt
Organism: Liolophura sinensis
Lineage: Eukaryota; Metazoa; Mollusca; Polyplacophora; Chitonida; Chitonidae
Exons: 3
Source: RefSeq, a predicted model, not a curated record
CCCUGGUGGAGAACAGCCAAGGUGACUGCGCAGACGUGCUCGAGCUGUCGUAUGGAGGAUGCUACAGUACCACCAACUACUUGGAAAAGAUAUUCUCGCCUAGUUCGUCGGAACUUUGUGUCUGUGGCCCUCCCUGUGUUUGUGGUUACAACUAUAUACUUGGAUUUGUCCAGAACCAAACGCUUCAAGGAACAGCGUGCGAAGCAGUCAGUUACAUCAGAGUUAGUGUGAUUACCAGCUGGCCUGAAGAUGGGAUCUUUUGUACAGAAGUUUGGCAUUGUGGGUUUAGCUGUCACAGCUUACAUCAUUGGACGAUACAUUGAGCAGGCGGAUGACAAGACGUUAUUUAGGAACAAGAGCAAAUUGUUUGGUGGCCGUGAACUUCCCCCUGGCCAGGAGCUCUGGAAAUAACCCCAGUCCAUGAGGGAGACAUUGUGUGUGUGUGUGUGUGUUACAAAUUCCAGUAGACAUUUCUAGAAGAUAUAUUUCUUUUCUCUCUGUAAUGUUACAAAGUUUGGUGUAGGUGAGAACGACGUACACCUGAUGUUCACAUUGGUCAUGAG